GACGAACGCUGGCGGCGUGCUUAACACAUGCAAGUCGAACGGAAAGGCCUGCUUUCCCUUGUGGAUUGCGGGUGCUCGAGUGGCGAACGGGUGAGUAACACGUGAGUGAUCUGCCCCCAACUUGGGUAUAAGCUUGGGAAACUGGGUCUAAUUCCCGAUAGGACCGCAGGGUGGUGCCUGUGGUGGAAACGGUUUUUCUAGUGGUUGGGGAUGAGCUGGCGGCCUAUCAGCUUGUUGGUGGGGAAAUGGCCUACCAAGGCGGCGACGGGUAGCCGGCCUGGGAGGGUGGACGGCCACAUUGGGACGGAGAUACGGCCCAGACUCCUACGGGAGGCAGCAGUGGGGAAUAUUACACAAUGGGCGGAAGCCUGAUGCAGCGACGCCGCGUGGGGGAUGACGGCCUUCGGGUUGUAAACUCCUUUCGACCGCGAGGAAGCCACCUGGUUGGAAGGGUGGUGACGGUAGUGGUAGAAGAAGCACCGGCUAACUACGUG
Molecule: ribosomal RNA, 494 nt
Filed under: uncultured bacterium
Lineage: Bacteria
Description: partial 16S ribosomal RNA
Rfam family: Bacterial small subunit ribosomal RNA
Source: RNAcentral